This 470-nucleotide ribosomal RNA is filed under the name uncultured bacterium. Its description in RNAcentral is "bacterial SSU rRNA". It matches the Rfam family "Bacterial small subunit ribosomal RNA", at positions 29 to 487 of the family's 1533-position model. The record is from RNAcentral.
AGUGAACGCUGGCGGCAGGCCUAAUACAUGCAAGUCGAACGGCAGCACAGCAGAGCUUGCUCUGUGGGUGGCGAGUGGCGGACGGGUGAGGAAUACAUGGGAAUCUGCCCAGUCGUGGGGAUAACGUAGGGAAACUUACGCUAAUACCGCAUGCGCCCUUCGGGGGAAAGCCGGGGACCUUCGGGCCUGGCGCGAUUGGAUGAGCCCAUGUCGGAUUAGCUAGUUGGCGGGUAAUGGCCCACCAAGGCGACGAUCCGUAGCUGGUCUGAGAGGAUGAUCAGCCACACUGGAACUGAGACACGGUCCAGACUCCUACGGGAGGCAACAGUAGGGAAUAUUGGACAAUGGGCGCAAGCCUGAUCCAGCCAUGCCGCGUGAGUGAAGAAGGCCCUCGGGUUGUAAAGCUCUUUGUCCGGAAAGAAAAGCGCCGGGGUUAAAUACCCGUGGUGUCCUGACGGUACCGGAAGAAU